Pelobates cultripes (western spadefoot toad) is the source of this 563-nucleotide non-coding RNA. The record is from the annotation of a GenBank genome assembly. NCBI's taxonomy places the organism in Eukaryota, Metazoa, Chordata, Amphibia, Anura, Pelobatidae.
GUCGGUAAGGCAAUUCGUUCAGGUUUUAGUUUUCGGGCCUCUGCUUAUUCCAGGGGUUGCGGAUGAGUCUGUGCUCGUUGUCCCUGGUCGAUGAGCCAGCUGUGUCAUAGAGGUCGCUGCGAGGUUCGAUAUUCCCAUUGCGGUCAUCAGUGCCGGGCCCUCUGCGUGGUCGGUAGCUCUGUAGUGCUUGUCAUCUUUAGUGAUCCAGAGAGUUCCUGGUGUUGCCCAUCUAUAGGCUACUCCUGCGGCUUGGAGUUGUUUGGUGAUUGGUUGCAUACUUUUGCGCCACAUCAGUGUGGCCCUGCUCAAGUCCUGAAAGAAGGAGAGUUUGCUGUCUUCAAAGUCAAGAGGUGUUUUCCCUUGCAUAGCUGCCAUUAGCCCCAGUUUGUCCAACAUUGAUUGGCAUCUCAAUAUUAUGUCCCUUGGGGCUGAGUUGGGUGCUUGUGGGGAUUUGGCUAUCCUGUAAACCCCGUCGAACUGGAACGUUUUGGAUUGUCUAGUUGGCAGGAGUGUGGCCACAAGGCGUCUGAUGAAAUGUGGCAACUCUUCCAGCGGUAUUGAUU